RNAcentral lists this transfer RNA (72 nucleotides) under Oscillospiraceae bacterium. RNAcentral's name for it is "tRNA-Phe". It matches the Rfam family "tRNA". Rfam says of the family: Transfer RNA (tRNA) molecules are approximately 80 nucleotides in length. The record is from RNAcentral. Lineage: Bacteria; Bacillati; Bacillota; Clostridia; Eubacteriales; Oscillospiraceae. RNAcentral also lists the same sequence under 1 other name.
GCCUCUGUAGCUCAGUCGGUAGAGCAGGGGACUGAAAAUCCCCGUGUCGAUGGUUCGAUUCCGUCCGGAGGC